UACGUAGGGUGCAAGCGUUGUCCGGAAUUAUUGGGCGUAAAGAGCUCGUAGGCGGUCUGUCGCGUCUGCUGUGAAAACUCAGGGCUUAACCCUGAGCUUGCAGUGGGUACGGGCAGACUAGAGUGCGGUAGGGGAGACUGGAAUUCCUGGUGUAGCGGUGAAAUGCGCAGAUAUCAGGAGGAACACCGGUGGCGAAGGCGGCAUCCUGGACCAAUUCUGACGCUGAGGAGCGAAAGCCAGGGGAGCAAACGGG
Molecule: ribosomal RNA, 253 nt
Filed under: uncultured bacterium
Lineage: Bacteria
Description: partial 16S ribosomal RNA
Rfam family: Bacterial small subunit ribosomal RNA
Source: RNAcentral